ACUACGGGGGGCUGCAGUGAGGAAUAUUGGUCAAUGGACGCAAGUCUGAACCAGCCAUGCCGCGUGCAGGAUGACGGCUCUAUGAGUUGUAAACUGCUUUUGUACGAGGGUAAACCCCGAUACGUGUAUCGGGUUGAAAGUAUCGUACGAAUAAGGAUCGGCUAACUCCGUGCCAGCAGCCGCGGUAAUACGGAGGAUCCGAGCGUUAUCCGGAUUUAUUGGGUUUAAAGGGUGCGUAGGCGGAUCGUUAAGUCAGUGGUCAAAUUGAGGGGCUCAACCCCUUCCCGCCAUUGAAACUGGCGCUCUUGAGUGGAAGAGAAGUAUGCGGAAUGCGUGGUGUAGCGGUGAAAUGCAUAGAUAUCACGCAGAACCCCGAUUGCGAAGGCAGCAUGCCGGCUUCCGACUGACGCUGAAGCACGAAAGCGUGGGGAUCGAACAGGAUUAGAUACCCCAGUAGUC
This 459-nucleotide ribosomal RNA is filed under the name uncultured bacterium. RNAcentral describes it as "partial 16S ribosomal RNA". It matches the Rfam family "Bacterial small subunit ribosomal RNA", at positions 338 to 795 of the family's 1533-position model. The record is from RNAcentral.